CCUCUUCGUACUGACGAGAUCAUUGCAUACCUCCUGGCUGGCUUGCCUUCGUAUUACGAUCCGUUUGUUACUUCGAUCACCAUGAAGACCGAGUCCCUCACGCUCGAUGAUUUCUACGCCCAUCUCCUGGCCUUUGAGG
Non-coding RNA from Zea mays, 139 nucleotides. Lineage: Eukaryota; Viridiplantae; Streptophyta; Magnoliopsida; Poales; Poaceae. The record is from Rfam.